RNAcentral lists this ribosomal RNA (497 nucleotides) under uncultured bacterium. Its description in RNAcentral is "partial 16S ribosomal RNA". It matches the Rfam family "Bacterial small subunit ribosomal RNA", at positions 28 to 507 of the family's 1533-position model. The record is from RNAcentral.
GACGAACGCUGGCGGCGUGCCUAAUACAUGCAAGUUGAGCGAUGAAGCUUGGUGCUUGCCCCAAUUUGAAGAGCAGCGAACGGGUGAGUAACGCGUGGGGAAUCUGCCUUUGAGCGGGGGACAACAUUUGGAAACGAAUGCUAAUACCGCAUAACAACUUUAAACAUAAGUUUUAAGUUUGAAAGAUGCAAUUGCAUCACUCAAAGAUGAUCCCGCGUUGUAUUAGCUAGUUGGUGAGGUAAAGGCUCACCAAGGCGAUGAUACAUAGCCGACCUGAGAGGAUGGUCGGCCACAUUGGGACUGAGACACGGCCCAAACUGCUACAGGAGGCAGCAGUAGGGAAUCUUCGGCAAUGGACGAAAGUCUGACCGAGCAACGCCGAGUGAGGGAAGAAGGUUGUCGGAUCGUAAAACUCUGUUGGUAGAGAAGAACGUUGGUGAGAGUGGAAAGCUCAUCAAGUGACGGUAACUACCCAGAAAGGGACGGCUAACUACGUG